CCCGGCCCGGCCGUGCGAGCGCGGCCCCGCACCCGGGCCCGGUACCGAGGGACGGCCAGAAGCACGUCGCCAUGGCAACGAGCAGUCUCUGCGCGAGAUCUUGGACCAAAGGAUCUUGGGGAAUUACCAGUGCACUGAUAUUUGUAGGAUGAAAUGACACAUCUGGUGAAACUGUUGGAUGCUUAAUAGAGUAUCAGCCCUGGGCAAAGCAGUGGAAGGGUUGGCCACACGUUGUAAGAGGGAAUGGUGUUUGCUGUUGAACUCCAGUUUGAAUUACUGUCCAGUGUGGAUCUUUUUUCAAAGAGGAAUGAGCAACAUAAGAGCCUUCAACUUCCAUUGAGGGAAGUUUCAAAAGUAGCCCUUCUGCCUGUGUUCAAGGGCCUGAAAUAUGGAGGUGCUGCUCCUCUGGCUGAUCAACAGACACAAGCCUUCCUCUGUAUUUUAGGGAUAG
Long non-coding RNA from Colius striatus (speckled mousebird), 451 nucleotides. RefSeq lists it as uncharacterized. NCBI's taxonomy places the organism in Eukaryota, Metazoa, Chordata, Aves, Coliiformes, Coliidae. The record is from RefSeq and is a predicted model, not a curated record. The transcript has 3 exons.